Molecule: long non-coding RNA, 1094 nt
Organism: Equus caballus (horse)
Lineage: Eukaryota; Metazoa; Chordata; Mammalia; Perissodactyla; Equidae
Source: RefSeq, a predicted model, not a curated record
GGGGGAAAGGUGGGCUGAGAAGAUGUGAGGCAGGACACAAGUGGUCUCUGAUACUGUCAGGUUUUUAUGAGCAAACAAGCAAAAACAUAUACUAUAUAAACAGAAUCAAUCAUGGGAAAGUUUCAAUACGCCACAAUCUGUUCAGAAACUGUUUAACUUCCAGUGACACCUAGUGGUGAAAUAUAGACACUCACAAGCAUCAAGUUACAGCUCUGAAAAUUUUACGUUGCUUAGUUUCACUCCAUUCUGAAUGAAAAACCCAGUGCCUGAUGUGGACAGUCACCUGCAGUAACAGCUGUUCAUCUGUUGGGACCUUUAUCUUAAUCCAGCAUUUUAAGAAGAGCAGGCCAACUCCAUUUGGUAGCUUGAAAACUUCCAUGUCCCACAAUUUGUUCGGUAACAAAGUCCCAGUGACACCUAGUGGUGAUACAUAGACAUUCACAAGCAUGAGGUUACAGCUCUUCCUUUGAAACUUCUGUUGCUCAACUUCACUCCAUUAUGGAUGAGAAAUCCAGUGCCUGAUGUAAACAGUCACCUUCAGGAACAAGCGUUCAUCUGUUGGGACCCUUAUCUUAACGCACCAUUUUGGGAAGAGCAGACAAACUCAAUUUGGUAGCUUAACUAUUCAGAUGUCUUGCUUCUUAUCUCAAUUUGUGGUUCAGAAGAAACGAUAUGCAAGACAGUGGAACAGUCUAUGCUGCCCACCUACUUGAACAUACCCACUCUUGUCCUCUAAGGAAUAGAGAACCCAGGACUCCGGUCCCUGCAGGAACAGACUUAGUUACAAGCACCUAGGAAGGGCCAAGUCCUUAGGGGUCAAGGCCAGAAGCAAGGGGCACCAGAACACUCAGGGGCCCACAUGUAACUGGAACUGUGUAUGGGAGCAUGGAAGCUGGGGGUAAAGUCUAACCAUAGGCCAUUUCUCCCCAAGGCUAUAGAGUUUCAAAUUUGAGAAUUUAGUUUAAGAAAUAAUCCCCCACUAAUAGGUCAUAAAGAUAUUCUGAAGUAUCAUAUGCUGUAAACUUUGUAUUAUUUUUUGCGUUUAAGACUUAUUCUAUUGUGAAUAAACCUUUGCUUGUGUCUUUCAAAAAUUA